ACCACCUGGGGAUCUCUUUAAACUGCAGAUUCUAGUUCAGGAGAUCUGGGGUGGGACCUGAGAUUCUGCACUUCUAACAAGUUCCCACGUGAUGCCAGU
Molecule: microRNA precursor, 99 nt
Organism: Vicugna pacos (alpaca)
Lineage: Eukaryota; Metazoa; Chordata; Mammalia; Artiodactyla; Camelidae
Source: Ensembl